This 500-nucleotide ribosomal RNA is filed under the name uncultured bacterium. RNAcentral's name for it is "bacterial SSU rRNA". It matches the Rfam family "Bacterial small subunit ribosomal RNA", at positions 129 to 647 of the family's 1533-position model. The record is from RNAcentral.
CCUCAUACAGGGGGAUAACAGUUAGAAAUGGCUGCUAAUACCGCAUAAGACCACAGCACCGCAUGGUGCAGGGGUAAAAACUCCGGUGGUAUGAGAUGGACCCGCGUCUGAUUAGCUAGUUGGUGGGGUAACGGCCUACCAAGGCGACGAUCAGUAGCCGACCUGAGAGGGUGACCGGCCACAUUGGGACUGAGACACGGCCCAAACUCCUACGGGAGGCAGCAGUGGGGAAUAUUGCACAAUGGGGGAAACCCUGAUGCAGCGACGCCGCGUGAGCGAAGAAGUAUUUCGGUAUGUAAAGCUCUAUCAGCAGGGAAGAAAAUGACGGUACCUGACUAAGAAGCCCCGGCUAACUACGUGCCAGCAGCCGCGGUAAUACGUAGGGGGCAAGCGUUAUCCGGAUUUACUGGGUGUAAAGGGAGCGUAGACGGCGAGGCAAGUCUGAUGUGAAAACCCGGGGCUCAACCCCGUGACUGCAUUGGAAACUGUUUUGCUUGAGU